RNAcentral lists this ribosomal RNA (479 nucleotides) under uncultured bacterium. RNAcentral's name for it is "partial 16S ribosomal RNA". It matches the Rfam family "Bacterial small subunit ribosomal RNA", at positions 28 to 507 of the family's 1533-position model. The record is from RNAcentral.
GAUGAACGCUAGCGGGAGGCCUAACACAUGCAAGCCGAGCGGUAUUGUUUCUUCGGAAAUGCGAGAGCGGCGUACGGGUGCGUAACACGUGUGCAACCUGCCUUUAUCUGGGGGAUAGCCUUUCGAAAGGAAGAUUAAUACUCCAUAAUAUAUUGAACGGCAUCGUUUAAUAUUGAAAGCUCCGGCGGAUAGAGAUGGGCACGCGCAAGAUUAGCUAGUUGGUGAGGUAACGGCUCACCAAGGUGAUGAUCUUUAGGGGGCCUGAGAGGGUGAUCCCCCACACUGGUACUGAGACACGGACCAGACUCCUACGGGAGGCAGCAGUGAGGAAUAUUGGUCAAUGGGUGCAAGCCUGAACCAGCCAUCCCGCGUGAAGGACGACUGCCCUAUGGGUUGUAAACUUCUUUUGUAUAGGGAUAAACCUACCCUCGAGAGGGUAGCUGAAGGUACUAUACGAAUAAGCACCGGCUAACUCCGUG